Molecule: unclassified non-coding RNA, 336 nt
Filed under: soil metagenome
Description: partial contains 5.8S ribosomal RNA, internal transcribed spacer 2, and large subunit ribosomal RNA
Rfam family: 5.8S ribosomal RNA (bases 1-120)
Source: RNAcentral
GAUGAAGAACGUAGCGAAAUGCGAAAAGUAGUGUGAAUUGCAGAAUUCAGUGAAUCAUCGAAUCUUUGAACGCACAUUGCGCCCGCCAGUAUUCUGGCGGGCAUGCCUGUUCGAGCGUCAUUUCAACCAUCAAGCCCCAGGCUUGUGUUGGGGACCUGCGGCUGCCGCAGGCCCUGAAAACCAGUGGCGGGCUCGCUGUCACACCGGGCGUAGUAGAUUUUAUCUCGCUCUGGGCGUGCUGCGGGUUCCGGCCGUUAAAAAACCCUUUUAACCCAAGGUUGACCUCGGAUCAGGUAGGAAUACCCGCUGAACUUAAGCAUAUCAAUAAGCGGAGGA